This 506-nucleotide long non-coding RNA is filed under the name Mustela putorius furo (domestic ferret). RNAcentral describes it as "lncRNA (ENSMPUG00000028214.1)". The record is from RNAcentral. Lineage: Eukaryota; Metazoa; Chordata; Mammalia; Carnivora; Mustelidae.
GGCUCCCAGCUGAGCAGACAGCCCGAUAUGGGGCUCCAUCCCAGGACCCUGGGAUCAUGACCUGAGCCAAAGGCUCAGGCAUGAAGCAGAGGCAGAGGCAGAGGCAGAGGCUUUAACCCACUGAGCCGCCCAGGCGCCCAGAGUGCUGGUAUUAUCCCCAUUUGAUAGAUGAAGAAAUUAACAUGCUGAAAGGUUGAAAAGCCUGCCGAUACCAUAUGCUAGUGAGCUGCAGAGCUGAGACCCAGGGCAGGCUCUGGGGUCUGUGCUCUUCCCACCACACAUUGCCUCUCAGUAUGGAAAAACGACAGGAAGGACAUUCCCUCAAAACCUUGUCUCUAGGAGGUUGCUGCCCAUCUUUCUGUCCACACAGCUUCUGACCUGAAGUACUGAGAGCUCAGACGUUGGAGCGGGCCAAGAAAUGGAGAGCUUGGAUCAACAGACUAGCAAGGAAACUGAGGGUGGACUCUGGGUGUCUACCUGGGUGAUGAACACUUUAAAAAACUGAU